GAUGAACGCUGGCGGCGUGCCUAAUACAUGCGAGUCGAGCGAACAGACGAGGAGCUUGCUCCUCUGACGUUAGCGGCGGACGGGUGAGUAACACGUGGAUAACCUACCUAUAAGACUGGGAUAACUUCGGGAAACCGGAGCUAAUACCGGAUAAUAUAUUGAACCGCAUGGUUCAAUAGUGAAAGACGGUUUUGCUGUCACUUAUAGAUGGAUCCGCGCCGCAUUAGCUAGUUGGUAAGGUAACGGCUUACCAAGGCGACGAUGCGUAGCCGACCUGAGAGGGUGAUCGGCCACACUGGAACUGAGACACGGUCCAGACUCCUACGGGAGGCAGCAGUAGGGAAUCUUCCACAAUGGGCGAAAGCCUGACGGAGCAACGCCGCGUGAGUGAUGAAGGUCUUCGGAUCGUAAAACUCUGUUAUUAGGGAAGAACAAAUGUGUAAGUAACUAUGCACGUCUUGACGGUACCUAAUCAGAAAGCCACGGCUAACUACGUG
Molecule: ribosomal RNA, 497 nt
Filed under: uncultured bacterium
Lineage: Bacteria
Description: partial 16S ribosomal RNA
Rfam family: Bacterial small subunit ribosomal RNA
Source: RNAcentral